This 25-nucleotide non-coding RNA is filed under the name Mus musculus (house mouse). Lineage: Eukaryota; Metazoa; Chordata; Mammalia; Rodentia; Muridae. The record is from RNAcentral.
UCCUUUAGGUAGACAAAAGACAAGC